This is a non-coding RNA of Pelobates cultripes (western spadefoot toad), 295 nucleotides long. NCBI's taxonomy places the organism in Eukaryota, Metazoa, Chordata, Amphibia, Anura, Pelobatidae. The record is from the annotation of a GenBank genome assembly.
GCCAGCCACCCCUCUCCCUCCCUCUGCAAUAAAUGAGCUGGCCGCCCAAUUCCCUCUGUCAGCCGCCUGCCUUCCUCCCACAGCUCUCCAUGAACCGGCUGCCCCCUCCCUCCUUCAGCAGCCUGCCUGCCUCAGUCCUCAGUGAUCCCAAUGCCUGCCUCUGCUCUCAGGCAGCCGAUCACCGUGGGGGCUGAACAUAUGUAUAUUUUGAUAUAAUACACAUAUAUUAAUAUACAUUUGUGCAAAUAUAUAGAUGCAUAAUACUCCCACAAAUCACCAAAUCACAUAGAUAAAG